This 253-nucleotide ribosomal RNA is filed under the name uncultured bacterium. Its description in RNAcentral is "partial 16S ribosomal RNA". It matches the Rfam family "Bacterial small subunit ribosomal RNA", at positions 524 to 776 of the family's 1533-position model. The record is from RNAcentral.
UACGGAGGGAGCUAGCGUUGUUCGGAAUUACUGGGCGUAAAGCGCACGUAGGCGGCUACACAAGUCAGAGGUGAAAGCCCGGGGCUCAACUCCGGAACUGCCUUUGAAACUGGGUGGCUAGAAUCUUGGAGAGGCGAGUGGAAUUCCGAGUGUAGAGGUGAAAUUCGUAGAUAUUCGGAAGAACACCAGUGGCGAAGGCGACUCGCUGGACAAGUAUUGACGCUGAGGUGCGAAAGCGUGGGGAGCAAACAGG